UACGAAGGGUGCAAGCGUUACUCGGAAUCACUGGGCGUAAAGCGUGCGUAGGCGGUUCGUUAAGUCUGCUGUGAAAGCCCUGGGCUCAACCUGGGAACUGCAGUGGAUACUGGCGGACUAGAGUGUGAUAGAGGAUGGUGGAAUUCCCGGUGUAGCGGUGAAAUGCGUAGAGAUCGGGAGGAACACCAGUGGCGAAGGCGGCCAUCUGGAUCAACACUGACGCUGAGGCACGAAAGCGUGGGAGCAAACAGGG
Molecule: ribosomal RNA, 253 nt
Filed under: uncultured bacterium
Lineage: Bacteria
Description: partial 16S ribosomal RNA
Rfam family: Bacterial small subunit ribosomal RNA
Source: RNAcentral